GAAAUUUUUUUCUUUUAAAAAUUUUUAUAAUAACGAAAGAAAAAUAUAAAAAAUAACAUUACAAAACAAAUAAUCAUUCUAGAAUCUAUUCACUUAUUUAUG
Long non-coding RNA from Rhagoletis zephyria (snowberry fruit fly), 102 nucleotides. RefSeq lists it as uncharacterized. Lineage: Eukaryota; Metazoa; Arthropoda; Insecta; Diptera; Tephritidae. The record is from RefSeq and is a predicted model, not a curated record.